RNAcentral lists this ribosomal RNA (279 nucleotides) under uncultured bacterium. RNAcentral describes it as "partial 16S ribosomal RNA". It matches the Rfam family "Bacterial small subunit ribosomal RNA", at positions 506 to 784 of the family's 1533-position model. The record is from RNAcentral.
UGCCAGCCGCCGCGGUAAUACGAAGGGACCUAGCGUAGUUCGGAUUUACUGGGCUUAAAGAGUUCGUAGGUUGUUGAAAAAGUUGGUGGUGAAAUCCCAGAGCUUAACUCUGGAACUGCCAUCAAAACUUUUCAGCUAGAGUAUGAUAGAGGAAAGCAGAAUUUCUAGUGUAGAGGUGAAAUUCGUAGAUAUUAGAAAGAAUACCAAUUGCGAAGGCAGCUUUCUGGAUCAUUACUGACACUGAGGAACGAAAGCAUGGGUAGCGAAGAGGAUUAGAUA